CACCAGCCCCUCGAGUGGUGGGGAUGAUUAUUUGGCCUAAAGCGUCCGUAGCCGGCCGGGUAAGUUUCCCGUUAAAUCCAGCGUCUCAAGCGUUGGACUGCGGGAAAUACUGCCUGGCUAGAGAGUGGGAGAGGUCAGCGGUAUUCUGGGGGUAGGGGCGAAAUCCUUUGAUCCCCGGAGGACCACCAGUGGCGAAGGCUGCUGACUAGAACACGUCUGACGGUCAGGGACGAAAGCUGGGGUAGCGAACCGGAUUAGAUACCCGGGUAGUCCCAGCCGUAAACGAUGCAUGCUAGGUGUUGGGUUGGCCACGAGCCACCCCAGCGCCGCAGGGAAGCCGUUAAGCAUGCCGCCUGGGAAGUACGAUCGCAAGAUUGAAACUUAAAGGAAUUGGCGGGGAGCACCACCAGGCGUGAAGCCUGCGGUUU
Molecule: ribosomal RNA, 428 nt
Filed under: uncultured archaeon
Lineage: Archaea
Description: bacterial SSU rRNA
Rfam family: Archaeal small subunit ribosomal RNA
Source: RNAcentral